UACAGAGGGUGCGAGCGUUAUUCGGAAUUACUGGGCGUAAAGCGUGCGCAGGUGGUUACGUAAGUCGGGUGUGAAAGCCCCGGGCUCAACCUGGGAAUUGCAUUCGAGACUGCGUAGCUAGGGUGCGGAAGAGGGAAGCGGAAUUUCCGGUGUAGCGGUGAAAUGCGUAGAUAUCGGAAGGAACACCAGUGGCGAAAGCGGCUUCCUGGUCCAGCACCGACAUUCAGGCACGAAAGCGUGGGGAGCAAACAGG
This 253-nucleotide ribosomal RNA is filed under the name uncultured bacterium. Its description in RNAcentral is "partial 16S ribosomal RNA". It matches the Rfam family "Bacterial small subunit ribosomal RNA", at positions 524 to 776 of the family's 1533-position model. The record is from RNAcentral.